GGAGACGUGGCAGAGCGGCCGAAUGCACCGGUCUUGAAAACCGGCGAGGUUUAUCCCUCCGCGGGUUCAAAUCCCGCCGUCUCCGCCG
Molecule: transfer RNA, 88 nt
Filed under: Corynebacterium ureicelerivorans
Lineage: Bacteria; Bacillati; Actinomycetota; Actinomycetes; Mycobacteriales; Corynebacteriaceae
Description: tRNA-Ser
Rfam family: tRNA
About the family: Transfer RNA (tRNA) molecules are approximately 80 nucleotides in length.
Source: RNAcentral